GGGGGGAGCGCCGGAUCUUGGGCUGUGUCCCCCGGCGCCCUGUGCCCCGGGGACUGCACCGCUGGACUCGGGCUCCCGGGGCCGCGCAGCCCCCA
This 95-nucleotide microRNA precursor is filed under the name Canis lupus familiaris (dog). Its description in RNAcentral is "mir-8799 microRNA precursor family". It matches the Rfam family "mir-8799 microRNA precursor family". Lineage: Eukaryota; Metazoa; Chordata; Mammalia; Carnivora; Canidae. The record is from Rfam by way of RNAcentral. RNAcentral also lists the same sequence under 1 other name.